CCACCAGCGCGCCAUCUUCUUCUUCGUGUUUGUUUUUAGCAGCUAGCCAAACACGACAUGAACCCACCGCCACCUAGCGGACAGGAGGCCUUUAGUUUGUGGUGCCAGACUGGAUGUGUGUUGCAGCUCCGUACCAGGACUGAUGGGGGCGCUGAGUAGCACAAAGACCGUGUCACUGAAACAACUGGUGGACUCUGCGGGACCAGCACUCUCUGACAUCCAGGUCCUGUUUUUAUCAGUGGAAUCCGUUACAGAAAAGAAACUAAAUUGAAGUGCCAACUUUUGAACUUUUUAAUUGGUGAAGUGAUACAGACUGGACCUAAUGUUGAUGUGGUGGCCUUGUGGAGGUGCAACAUUAAAGCCCGGCUAAGGCUGCAGUUCUGUUUCCACAGGACCAUGGGGAA
Non-coding RNA from Labrus bergylta (ballan wrasse), 404 nucleotides. Lineage: Eukaryota; Metazoa; Chordata; Actinopteri; Labriformes; Labridae. The record is from RefSeq and is a predicted model, not a curated record.